Molecule: ribosomal RNA, 485 nt
Filed under: uncultured Simplicispira sp.
Lineage: Bacteria; Pseudomonadati; Pseudomonadota; Betaproteobacteria; Burkholderiales; Comamonadaceae
Description: bacterial SSU rRNA
Rfam family: Bacterial small subunit ribosomal RNA
Source: RNAcentral
AACUUUAAAGGAAUUGGCGGGGACCCGCACAAGCGGUGGAUGAUGUGGUUUAAUUCGAUGCAACGCGAAAAACCUUACCCACCUUUGACAUGUACGGAAGAUCGCAGAGACGCGAUUGUGCUCGAAAGAGAACCGUAACACAGGUGCUGCAUGGCUGUCGUCAGCUCGUGUCGUGAGAUGUUGGGUUAAGUCCCGCAACGAGCGCAACCCUUGCCAUUAGUUGCUACAUUCAGUUGGGCACUCUAAUGGGACUGCCGGUGACAAACCGGAGGAAGGUGGGGAUGACGUCAAGUCCUCAUGGCCCUUAUAGGUGGGGCUACACACGUCAUACAAUGGCUGGUACAAAGGGUUGCCAACCCGCGAGGGGGAGCUAAUCCCAUAAAGCCAGUCGUAGUCCGGAUCGUAGUCUGCAACUCGACUACGUGAAGUCGGAAUCGCUAGUAAUCGUGGAUCAGAAUGUCACGGUGAAUACGUUCCCGGGUCUU